UUAAUUUAAAUUUGUAUGGAGUUGGAAAGUUUGCCUACGUUGGCCGUCAGAGGCGCUGUUCCAACUGCAUACAAAUUUUAAGUU
This 84-nucleotide microRNA precursor is filed under the name Bombyx mori (domestic silkworm). RNAcentral's name for it is "mir-2807 microRNA precursor family". It matches the Rfam family "mir-2807 microRNA precursor family". The record is from Rfam by way of RNAcentral. Lineage: Eukaryota; Metazoa; Arthropoda; Insecta; Lepidoptera; Bombycidae.